Non-coding RNA from Carica papaya (papaya), 1493 nucleotides. The record is from RefSeq and is a predicted model, not a curated record. NCBI's taxonomy places the organism in Eukaryota, Viridiplantae, Streptophyta, Magnoliopsida, Brassicales, Caricaceae.
UCUGUGGUUCGAUUUGAUGACAGAUACUGGUGAUGACGGGAACUCGUCUUCUUCGGUUGCAGGAGUACUUGGUCAGCAGUUUUUUUUUUUGUUUCUUUAAUGUUUCAAAUAAAAUUGCAUUUACUGAAUUGGUAAUCAGAGUAUUGGAGCUGGUCUAUUAUACAGUAGUUUGGUACUAUGAAUUGCUGUGUUUUAUGAGGUAUCUCUUUUUUCUUGUCUAUCACAUUAUAUUUUCUGGGUUUUGGUAUAUUUGUCUUUUUUCUCGCGUCGCUGGCAAAAGGAAGGAGAUCCUGACCAUUCUUCAAAAUUGUGCUGUAAGUGAUAAAAAUUCAAAUUUUAUUUUAAUGAUUUUGUAUAAUUACUUGUUAUAGCAAACCUGCGAAUAGUGGCUGUCUUAUUUACGCUGGCAGGUUCUUGGUAUAGCCUGCGGCGUGCUUUACGGUUUGUGAGCGACAAAAGAGGGAGAGUGUGUACGAAGAAAAGAACCAGAGCGACAGAGGAAGCGAAUUCGACUACAAAAGGUUAUUAUCAAUCUUAGGGAGCACUUUUAAGCACUCUUUUAGACGUGGAUUAUGAGAUAUUCGUGGAAUAAAAGGUUUGUCUUCUUUCUUUUAUCAUAUUUUUCAGUUUAGUUUUACUUUUUUUAAGCCUAAUUUAUUUUUUAAAUUUUUUUGAUGGAGUUGGGGAGAGUUACAACGCUAUCUAUUUCUUCUUCAUCUAUUACAUUAAGUUUUAAAAGGUUUCAUUUAGAACUACAAAGAGAUCUACUCCAUGAUCACUCUAGUGAAAAAGAAGAUCUGUGGUUCAAUUUGAAGGCAGAUACUGGUGAUGGCGGAAACUCCUCUUCUUCGUUUGCAGGAGUACUUGGUCAGCGAUUUUUUUUAUUUUUCUAAUAUUUCUAAUAAGGUUGCAUUUACUGAAUUGGUAAUCAGGAUAUUUGAGCUGGUCUAUUAUACAGUCGUUUGGUACUAUGAAUUGCUGUGUUUUAUGAGGUAUCUCUUUUUUCUUGUCUAUCACAUUAUAUUUUCUGGGUUUUGGUAUAUUUGUCUUUUUUCUCGCGUCGCUGGCAAAAGGAAGGAGAUCCUGACCAUUCUUCAAAAUUGUGCUGUAAGUGAUAAAAAUUCAAAUUUUAUUUUAAUGAUUUUGUAUAAUUACUUGUUAUAGCAAACCUGCGAAUAGUGGCUGUCUUAUUUACGCUGGCAGGUUCUUGGUAUAGCCUGCGGCGUGCUUUACGGUUUGUGAGCGACAAAAGAGGGAGAGUGUGUACGAAGAAAAGAACCAGAGCGACAGAGGAAGCGAGUUCGUAUGAAAUUUUACCUCAUUAUUUUAUUAUUUGAUUAGUCAAUUAUUUUUAUUUUUUUACUAACUAAUCAAACAAUAAUUUUUAAAUUAUACUACCAUAACUUAGUUAAAGGAUGAAUUUGAACACUAAAAACCUACAUGACGAUAGAUCGAUAUGAACAAUGCAAAGCAAACAAAUUAUAAUUAGAAAC